GAGUUUGAUCUUGGCUCAGAUUGAACGCUGGCGGCAGGCCUAACACAUGCAAGUCGAGCGGUAGAGAGAAGCUUGCUUCUCUUGAGAGCGGCGGACGGGUGAGUAAUGCCUAGGAAUCUGCCUGGUAGUGGGGGAUAACGCUCGGAAACGGACGCUAAUACCGCAUACGUCCUACGGGAGAAAGCAGGGGACCUUCGGGCCUUGCGCUAUCAGAUGAGCCUAGGUCGGAUUAGCUAGUUGGUGAGGUAAUGGCUCACCAAGGCGACGAUCCGUAACUGGUCUGAGAGGAUGAUCAGUCACACUGGAACUGAGACACGGUCCAGACUCCUACGGGAGGCAGCAGUGGGGAAUAUUGGACAAUGGGCGAAAGCCUGAUCCAGCCAUGCCGCGUGUGUGAAGAAGGUCUUCGGAUCGUAAAGCACUUUAAGUUGGGAGGAAGGGCAGUAAAUUAAUACUUUGCUGUUUGACGUUACCGACAGAAUAAGCACCGGCUAACUCUGUGCCAGCCGCC
Molecule: ribosomal RNA, 511 nt
Filed under: uncultured bacterium
Lineage: Bacteria
Description: bacterial SSU rRNA
Rfam family: Bacterial small subunit ribosomal RNA
Source: RNAcentral